CUACUCUAUACCUUCCAAUGAUUACAGAUAAUCUUCUUACCUGAGCUUUCAAGUCCCUAGCCUCAUACCUUUAUUCAAGAAGAUAUGCUUUUGCUCAACCCCUUAUUUUAGGAUCAACCUAUGCCAAAUACUCGUAAUAGGAAUCAUUUUGUGACUAACAAAUGUCCACAAAUAUUAUCCCAGUUAAAGAACCCAUAGCAGCAUAAUUCAACACUUAGAUAAUUGCAAACAUAAAUCCAAGACAUCGGUCAUACUCAUCUGAUAGUUUGGA
Molecule: long non-coding RNA, 271 nt
Filed under: Phoenix dactylifera (date palm)
Lineage: Eukaryota; Viridiplantae; Streptophyta; Magnoliopsida; Arecales; Arecaceae
Description: long non-coding RNA (PDAC_LNC021285)
Source: RNAcentral